Molecule: long non-coding RNA, 2640 nt
Organism: Hyaena hyaena (striped hyena)
Lineage: Eukaryota; Metazoa; Chordata; Mammalia; Carnivora; Hyaenidae
Exons: 4
Source: RefSeq, a predicted model, not a curated record
CCUGCCACCGCGUCCCCUCUCAGGUGUCUCCACACCGCGGGUGGGGGACGCAGUCCCGGGCUCCCCUGAGCCGGAGCCGCUGUCCCUCCGCUUCCCUCCCGAGGGCUCCCGGACGACGUCCUGCAGACGUGAGCGCUCCUGGCGGGACGCUCGCUUCCUCGCUCCGGACUUGCUUACGAGGCCGCGGCGGAGGGGAGACCGGAGCCAGACCCGCCGAGUGCCCGCAGCCUCCAUGCGACAAGCAGACUGAGCACCGGCCGCGUGGGGCCACGUGACGGCCGCGUGGGGCUAAGGACAGCGCCCUGCGGCCUCACGGGUGCCCAGCGCCCGCCACCCCAUUCACCGCGCCGCUGCCCUGCCUUCGGUUCUGACUCAGUGCAGGCAGGUCCCCGGGGCGUGCGGGCGGGCGCCGGGAGAGGUGUACACGCCCCCGCCAGCCCCCCCCGCCCCGUCUUCCAGACAGUCUGACGCUGGGGUUUUCACAUCGGUGCUCUGGCCAAGGCGACCUGCACUGGAGUCUGUGGACGGGAUCUGGGGAGAGCUUCCCGCCUGCGGAGAUGGACCACACUCUCUCUGUUGUGCAUGGAGCUAUGGCAGCCGUUUCGUGAUCAUGAGGAUCAUAGACGUGGAGCCCGACCUCCAAGAGCAGCUGUCUGAUGCAGGUAUGCCCGGCGGCUCAGUGUCACCAUGACCUGGGUUUGCCCUGCAACUGGUAAAGUGAAGCAGGGCACGUUACAAGCCACGAGGGGUGAGAGGCCAGAAGCAUGGAGAACGUGGAUGACCCACGACUAGAGGCAGGCAGGGCUGCUGCCGGCCCCACGGGAGCCACGGCCCCCAGCUAUGCUCAAGCCCUAGACACACAGUCCCCAUCCUGAGGUGAGCCCUGGCUGGGACGAGAACACAGGGGCAGGGCCAGCCCCAUGCAGAUACUGCCCCUGUCCCCAGAUACUCGGAGCUGGCUUUGCCGUGUGGCCCAGUUAUCAGCAGUGAGGUGUGCGGGGAGGCGUGCGAGACGCUUACUAGGAAUCCCGCAGAGCGGCGUGGACACUGGCCCAUCUGUGGAUGCUGGCUUGUGUCUCCCCCAGACUUCCCCGCUGGGUGCUAUGGCCCGUUCCUCCUUGUGUACGGGUCUUCUGGAGCACAGGGGUUGGGGGCACAUUUGUACCUGCAAACAGAGCAGAAGUGGCAGAUUCUGGAGAGGAAUGGCUGGAGGCCAUGACGGAAGCAGAAAACGUGGACAUCGUCGGCAGAAUUAGUGUCACUGGAACCACCACAUCCAUCAGCAAUUUCUGAAUCAAACUGGACUGUGGGGACACGAAUGACAUGAUUGGCCCCAAACUGACCGAAACACCCAGAGUGUGGCCACAAGCCCUGCUGGGUUCCAGGCCGUGUCACCAGGCCUGUUUCCCUUCAUCUCGGUUCCACGGGCUGCCUGAUGUGUGUUCUCAUUUCACAUCCAAGAACCGUCCCCACGAAGUCAGAGUCACACUGAGGAGACCUCUGCAGCUAACCUGGAAUCAGCCAUUUUUAAGGGCACCGUUGGGCAGCAUUGAGUACCUUUAUCCCCGCUAUCCAUGUCUGGAACUUUUUCAUCUUCCCAAACUGAAAUUCGGUCCCCACUAAAGGGCGGCGUACGGACUGGGCAGAGCAGCCUUCAGGAUAAGCUUGCUCAGGUGGCGCUGCACGAGUUGGAGGAGUGGGUGCAUCCAGGAUGCCGCUGCAGGCCCAGGUGACCGCUGGACCUGGGAGUCCGGUUUCAAUCAGAAGCUGCCCUGCCUUCCAAGGACGGGCAGUCUGGUGGGGACACCGGCGUGCAGCCCCCAGACCUGACUGCAGAGAAAUCGUGGCCGAGCUCAUGGGAGAGCCCACCGGUGCAUCACAUCCUUAUUUACGUCAACCCGAGCGUCUCUGGGAGAAGGGACCUGCACACAGUGGCCAGUCCACACCGCCGGAACCCCGGAGCCACAGCCUGACACAGGACAGCGCGGGCGCAUCUGGGCCGGGUCACAGGCUGCGACCCUGUGACCUGCGGAGGCAGCAAACCCAGAGGACAGAGGGGUGGCUGUGCCGGGACAGCAUGGAACUCGCACUGUGGUGGCAGAACGUGGAAAGUGGAGCAUCUGACUCCAUUCUCUCCAUAAACCUGACUUUGAAAUAAACAGCCCCUGCGGGAGGCCUUCCUGAGAGCAAUGGCUGAGGAGGGGUUGGGCCCUGGGCUGCUCGGGGGGACGGUGGGGGGGGUGGCAGACAAGCAUGGCCCUGGGAGCUGGGGCGGGACCCAGCCCAGUGUUGCGUCUCGCCCUGGUCACCCUGUCCUCGCUCCGUGCCUGAACUGCCUCAACAAACCUCCUCCUCCCCCUCCCUCUUCGGGGAGCGCCCAGAGCCCCUGCCCCAGCCUCCUCCUGGGCAGCCUUGGGCUCGGGAUGGGGAGGAUCCGAGACAGGCAGACAGUCCCGCCUGGAGGGGCCAGCCUCUAGGACACACUGCUGUAUCUCCAAAAGAGAUGUGUGCACCGUCGAGGCCUGCGGGGCCCACGGUGGCAGCUGGGAGGGGGCGUAGGGACCCCAGGCCGGGUCGGACAUUUGGGGCACAUCUAGGGUCCACACCGAGGAAGAUAGUAAAGUUGUGCUGUUUCUCGCC